GCGUCGUAACGUAAGAGACGCGUAAGCGUAUCGUAACACGCGCGUAGAACGAGAGCGCUACGAGCACGAAACACGAACAAGUUCAAACAAAUCCGCACACGAAGCGUCGUCGUAGCGUAGCGUAUGAGAUUUCUGUCAUCAUUAUGACAGGCGUAGCGUAAUUCAGGCGUAAAAAACAAAACUUCUUAAAUAAUCAAACAAUGAAAAA
This is a long non-coding RNA of Cydia strobilella, 208 nucleotides long. RefSeq lists it as uncharacterized. NCBI's taxonomy places the organism in Eukaryota, Metazoa, Arthropoda, Insecta, Lepidoptera, Tortricidae. The transcript has 2 exons. The record is from RefSeq and is a predicted model, not a curated record.